Molecule: ribosomal RNA, 522 nt
Filed under: uncultured bacterium
Lineage: Bacteria
Description: bacterial SSU rRNA
Rfam family: Bacterial small subunit ribosomal RNA
Source: RNAcentral
AGAGUUUGAUUAUGGCUCAGGAUGAACGCUAGCUACAGGCUUAACACACGCAAGUCGAGGGGCAUCAGGGUCUGUGCUUGCACAGAUUGCUGGCGACCGGCGUACGGGUGAGUAACGCGUAUCCAACCUUCCCCUUAGUAGAGGAUAGCCCGGCGAAAGUCGGAUUAAUACUCUAUGUUGUUCAAUGCGGACAUCUAAGUUGAACCAAAGGUUUACCGCUAAGGGAUGGGGAUGCGUCUGAUUAGGUAGUAGGCGGGGUAACGGCCCACCUAGCCGACGAUCAGUAGGGGUUCUGAGAGGAAGGUCCCCCACAUUGGAACUGAGACACGGUCCAAACUCCUACGGGAGGCAGCAGUGAGGAAUAUUGGUCAAUGGACGAGAGUCUGAACCAGCCAAGUAGCGUGCAAGGAUGACGGCCCUAUGGGUUGUAAACUGCUUUUAUGCGGGGAUAAAGUGCACCACGUGUGGUGUUUUGUAGGUACCGCAUGAAUAAGGACCGGCUAAUUCCGUGCCAGCAGCAGC